This 484-nucleotide ribosomal RNA is filed under the name uncultured bacterium. Its description in RNAcentral is "partial 16S ribosomal RNA". It matches the Rfam family "Bacterial small subunit ribosomal RNA", at positions 28 to 523 of the family's 1533-position model. The record is from RNAcentral.
GACGAACGCUGGCGGCGUGCUUAACACAUGCAAGUCGAACGAUGAAGCUAGAGCUUGCUCUGGUGAAUUAGUGGCGAACGGGUGAGUAACACGUGAGUAACCUGCCCCGAACUCUGGGAUAACUGCUGGAAACGGUAGCUAAUACUGGAUACGACCUACGAAGGCAUCUUCUGUAGGUGGAAAGAAUUUCGGUUCGGGAUGGACUCGCGGCCUAUCAGCUUGUUGGUGAGGUAAUGGCUCACCAAGGCGACGACGGGUAGCCGGCCUGAGAGGGUGGCCGGCCACACUGGGACUGAGACACGGCCCAGACUCCGACGGGAGGCAGCAGUGGGGAAUAUUGCACAAUGGGCGCAAGCCUGAUGCAGCAACGCCGCGUGAGGGAUGACGGCCUUCGGGUUGUAAACCUCUUUUAGUAGGGAAGAAGCGAAGGUGACGGUACCUGCAGAAAAAGCACCGGCUAACUACGUGCCAGCAGCCGCGGUAA